ACCGACGGGCGCAACGUCAGCUGUCUGUCCUGGAACAAGGCAAACCCGGACCUGAUCGCCGUGGGUUACGGCCAGUUUGGGUUCAACGACCAGAAGGGCGGGCUGGCCUGCUGCUGGUCUCUCAAGAACCCCAAGUACCCAGAGAGAGUGUACCACUGCGCCUCGGGGGUGGUCAGCAUGGACUUCUCCUACCAGAACCCCAGCCUGCUGGCCGUG
Branchiostoma floridae (Florida lancelet) is the source of this 216-nucleotide long non-coding RNA. RefSeq lists it as uncharacterized. The transcript has 3 exons. Lineage: Eukaryota; Metazoa; Chordata; Leptocardii; Amphioxiformes; Branchiostomatidae. The record is from RefSeq and is a predicted model, not a curated record.